Molecule: long non-coding RNA, 391 nt
Organism: Microtus oregoni (creeping vole)
Lineage: Eukaryota; Metazoa; Chordata; Mammalia; Rodentia; Cricetidae
Exons: 3
Source: RefSeq, a predicted model, not a curated record
UACAGUGUAGAAACCCAGGCUGUCCGGAGGUCAGGCUGUGCAGUGUGUUUGCUGUUUAGAGGAAGAUCUUCGGGGAGAUGCAGCCUGCCUGUUUAAAGAGGAAGCAGGAAGCAAAUGAGAAAACAGAUUGCGGUUGCUGCUUUUCCUUUGAAAUUUCAAGCUGCUCUAAGUCAAAUCACCCCUGAGUUUCUAAUGGUGCCUCUUGUGAAGGUGCCUUGUUUUACUUCAUUUUUCCACAACAGUUAUUUCGCCUGACAGCAGCAAAAAUGAUGUUGGCAGCAAGCUAAUGUGGUGACCACAGAUAAGAGAGAUGCUGUCCAGCUGGGACUUUCCCCUGCUCCUCUGUGGUGAUCUGUAUCCGAGACUAUUUGAUGUCGGCAUGGAAAAGCCC